RNAcentral lists this ribosomal RNA (491 nucleotides) under uncultured bacterium. RNAcentral describes it as "partial 16S ribosomal RNA". It matches the Rfam family "Bacterial small subunit ribosomal RNA", at positions 28 to 507 of the family's 1533-position model. The record is from RNAcentral.
GAUGAACGCUAGCUACAGGCUUAACACAUGCAAGUCGCGGGGCAGCAUGGGGGUUGCUUGCAACCCCUGAUGGCGACCGGCGCACGGGUGAGUAACGCGUAUCCAACCUGCCCUUCACCACGGGAUAACCCGGCGAAAGUCGGACUAAUACCGUAUGUUGUCCAUUGACGGCAUCCGAUUUAGACGAAAGGCUUGGGGUUGAAAGGUUGGGGUUGCGUCCGAUUAGCUUGACGGCGGGGUACCGGCCCACCGUGGCUACGUUCGGUAGGGGUUCUGAGAGGAAGGUCCCCCACACUGGAACUGAGACACGGUCCAGACUCCUACGGGAGGCAGCAGUGAGGAAUAUUGGUCAAUGGGCGUAAGCCUGAACCAGCCAAGUAGCGUGCAGGAUGACGGCCCUAUGGGUUGUAAACUGCUUUUAUGCGGGGAUAAAGUGGCCCACGUGUGGGCUUUUGCAGGUACCGCAUGAAUAAGGACCGGCUAAUUCCGUG